GACGAACGCUGGCGGCGUGCUUAACACAUGCAAGUCGAACGGAGCGAAUGAAAGCUUGCUUUUAUGAGCUUAGUGGCAAACGGGUGAGUAACACGUAGACAACCUGCCGACAGGAUGGGGACAACAUUCCGAAAGGAAUGCUAAUACCGAAUGAAGUCGAGGGAGGGCAUCCUCCUUCGAUGAAAGAUGGCCUCUGAAUAUGCUAUCACCUGUCGAUGGGUCUGCGUCUGAUUAGCUGGUUGGUGAGGUAACGGCUCACCAAGGCGACGAUCAGUAGCCGGUCUGAGAGGAUGAACGGCCACAUUGGGACUGAGACACGGCCCAGACUCCUACGGGAGGCAGCAGUGGGGAAUCUUCCGCAAUGGGCGCAAGCCUGACGGAGCAACGCCGCGUGAGUGAAGAAGGUCUUCGGAUCGUAAAGCUCUGUUGAUGGGGACGAACGUGCGAAGGGUGAAUAAUCCUUUUAAUGACGGUACCUAUCGA
RNAcentral lists this ribosomal RNA (483 nucleotides) under Selenomonas sp. oral taxon 479. RNAcentral's name for it is "bacterial SSU rRNA". It matches the Rfam family "Bacterial small subunit ribosomal RNA", at positions 28 to 485 of the family's 1533-position model. Lineage: Bacteria; Bacillati; Bacillota; Negativicutes; Selenomonadales; Selenomonadaceae. The record is from RNAcentral.